AGUCGCCGAGCUAGGGGAUCUGCUGAAAGAGGUGAUAGACAAGGUAAGCAAUCAGAGCUCCAAGCAAUCAGUCCCAGAUCAGAAGUUUGAUUUCGAGUUCUGGCUGAUUGUUAUCAUUCUCCUUAUCUUGCAGGCAGCAUGAAGGAUAAAGAGAAGAAAAUGAGAAAAUGUGAUAUGAGAUACUUUUGCUUUUGAAGAAGUAACUUUCCACAGGCUUAUUCUUGAACUGAGUUGGAGGGUUUUCUGGUUUCCGCCAGAGUAUAAGGCCGACUGAAGAAUUUGAGGGUCAAAACAAGUCCAUCAAAUCUAGAGUACGUUCGACCCUGCUGAUAUGGGAUACUUUUGCUGUUGACAAAGUAG
This 360-nucleotide long non-coding RNA is filed under the name Malus domestica (apple). RNAcentral's name for it is "long non-coding RNA (MDOM_LNC014109)". The record is from RNAcentral. Lineage: Eukaryota; Viridiplantae; Streptophyta; Magnoliopsida; Rosales; Rosaceae.